Molecule: transfer RNA, 87 nt
Filed under: Gammaproteobacteria bacterium
Lineage: Bacteria; Pseudomonadati; Pseudomonadota; Gammaproteobacteria
Also listed under: 1 other name
Description: tRNA-Leu
Rfam family: tRNA
About the family: Transfer RNA (tRNA) molecules are approximately 80 nucleotides in length.
Source: RNAcentral
GCCGGGGUGGCGGAACUGGUAGACGCGCUAGACUCAAAAUCUAGUGAGGGUGACCUCGUGUCGGUUCGAGUCCGACCCUCGGUACCA